GGGGGCGCGGGAGCCGCGUGGCGCUGCCCCUCCUCUCUUCUCCCCUGCUCUCCAAGUCGAAGUCCAGGGAGAAAGCUGCGCGGUGACGUCAGCCUGCCUGUAUGCCCAGACGAUGCUGGGCUGAUGGCUCUUCUUCUCCCCGAUUAUAGGCGAUGUGUGUGCGUGUCUGUAGGAGACCCCAGCAGAACGUCAGCCCCGCCGCGAGGGGAGGGGAGGGGGCGCUUUCGUGAUGGGACCGCGGGGUGUCGCAGUCCCCCCUCGUGCCACGCCGCCGUGCCGUCCCCCUACUCCUGCCCAGCCCCGGCGCCUUUCGGAUGUGGUGAUGGAGGGUUGGAGGAAUGGAGGGAUGGAGUGAUGGACAGAAGACCUAAGGAAGGACUUCCUUAUUAUACCAGUUGGCCCAGUGAUGUGCAGCCCUAACCUGAGACAGUGAAUGAACAAAUGAGGAGCCACUGGCCUUCUGCCACCAGUACACCUGCCACGGGGGCUUAUAAGGAUGCCAAAGUGCUGGAAAUCAUGCCCCCAGGCCCCAGAGCUGCACCCCUGAGA
This is a non-coding RNA of Phascolarctos cinereus (koala), 549 nucleotides long. NCBI's taxonomy places the organism in Eukaryota, Metazoa, Chordata, Mammalia, Diprotodontia, Phascolarctidae. The record is from RefSeq and is a predicted model, not a curated record.